This 505-nucleotide ribosomal RNA is filed under the name uncultured bacterium. RNAcentral's name for it is "partial 16S ribosomal RNA". It matches the Rfam family "Bacterial small subunit ribosomal RNA", at positions 28 to 507 of the family's 1533-position model. The record is from RNAcentral.
GACGAACGCUGGCGGCGUGCCUAAUACAUGCAAGUAGAACGCACAGUUUAUACCGUAGCUUGCUACACCAUAGACUGUGAGUUGCGAACGGGUGAGUAACGCGUAGGUAACCUGCCUGGUAGCGGGGGAUAACUAUUGGAAACGAUAGCUAAUACCGCAUAAUAUUAAUUAUUGCAUGAUAAUUAAUUGAAAGGUGCAAUUGCACCACUACCAGAUGGACCUGCGUUGUAUUAGCUAGUAGGUGAGGUAACGGCUCACCUAGGCGACGAUACAUAGCCGACCUGAGAGGGUGAUCGGCCACACUGGGACUGAGACACGGCCCAGACUCCUACGGGAGGCAGCAGUAGGGAAUCUUCGGCAAUGGACGAAAGUCUGACCGAGCAACGCCGCGUGAGUGAAGAAGGUUUUCGGAUCGUAAAGCUCUGUUGUAAGAGAAGAACGGGUGUGAGAGCGGAAAGUUCACACUGUGACGGUAUCUUACCAGAAAGGGACGGCUAACUACGUG